Molecule: transfer RNA, 70 nt
Filed under: Rattus norvegicus (Norway rat)
Lineage: Eukaryota; Metazoa; Chordata; Mammalia; Rodentia; Muridae
Rfam family: tRNA
About the family: Transfer RNA (tRNA) molecules are approximately 80 nucleotides in length.
Source: Rfam by way of RNAcentral
GGGGAUUUAGCUCAGUGGUAGAGCACUUGCCUAGCAAGCACAAGGCCCUGGGUUCGGUCCCCCAGCUCCA